GGAUCAAUGAUGAGUCCAACCAAAAAAACAUUCCUUGGAAAGCUGAACAAAAUGAGUGAGAACUCAUACCAUCGCUCUCAUCAGAACUGAGGUCA
Small nucleolar RNA from Saimiri boliviensis boliviensis (Bolivian squirrel monkey), 95 nucleotides. RefSeq annotates it as small nucleolar RNA SNORD116. The record is from RefSeq and is a predicted model, not a curated record. NCBI's taxonomy places the organism in Eukaryota, Metazoa, Chordata, Mammalia, Primates, Cebidae.